This 200-nucleotide microRNA precursor is filed under the name Oryza sativa Japonica Group (Japanese rice). RNAcentral's name for it is "MIR812 microRNA precursor family". It matches the Rfam family "MIR812 microRNA precursor family". Lineage: Eukaryota; Viridiplantae; Streptophyta; Magnoliopsida; Poales; Poaceae. The record is from Rfam by way of RNAcentral.
CCUCUGUAUAAUUUUCAUACUCAACUUUAAUAGUCUGUCUUAUUUAGAAUUUUUUUUAUAGAUUAGUAUUUUUAUUGUUAUGAGAUGUUAAAAUAUGAAUAGUAGUUUAUAUGUGACUUAUGUUUUUUAAAAAAAAUUUAAAAAAAAUAAAUAAGAAGAACGGUCAAAAUUAUGCACGAAAAAUGAUAGCUGCAUUUAAA